Molecule: ribosomal RNA, 256 nt
Filed under: Solirubrobacterales bacterium
Lineage: Bacteria; Bacillati; Actinomycetota; Thermoleophilia; Solirubrobacterales
Description: partial 23S ribosomal RNA
Rfam family: Bacterial large subunit ribosomal RNA
Source: RNAcentral
GUCAUCCUUAGUACGAGAGGACCGGGAUGAACGGGCCGCUGGUGUACCUGUUGUCCUGCCAAGGGCACUGCAGGUUAGCUACGCCCGGAUCGGAUAACCGCUGAAGGCAUCUAAGCGGGAAGCCGACCUCGAGAUUAGUUCUCCCAUUCCUUCAAGGAAGUAAGACCCCUGAUAGACCAUCAGGUUGAUAGGCCGACUGUGUAAAUGCAGCAAUGCGUGCAGCAGAUCGGUACUAAUGGGUCGAGGUCUUGACGUU